This 292-nucleotide small nuclear RNA is filed under the name Sorex araneus (European shrew). RNAcentral describes it as "7SK RNA (ENSSARG00000018649.1)". It matches the Rfam family "7SK RNA". Rfam says of the family: 7SK was discovered as an abundant small nuclear RNA in the mid-70s but a possible function has only recently been suggested. Two independent studies have found that 7SK RNA binds the CDK9/cyclin T complex (known as elongation factor P-TEFb). P-TEFb activates transcription by phosphorylating the C-terminal domain of RNA polymerase II. Lineage: Eukaryota; Metazoa; Chordata; Mammalia; Eulipotyphla; Soricidae. The record is from RNAcentral.
AGAUGAGACCUGCUGCCACCCCAUUGAUCACCAGGGUUGAUUUGGCUGAACUACGGGCUUUGUGGGUGUCCCCUUCGUCCUUCAUUGCUCCAUGUGCAUCCCUCCCUAACCUGCAUGCUCAGUCUAAGAGGAAGGCCUUCUCCGCAUAGAGACCGACAGCCUAUACCUUGGUAGAGGGCAUAGAGUAGCUACAUUCCCCUGCUAGCACUACAAACCAGCUCUCAAGGUCCACUGGUGACACUUUGAGCUGUAACCUCAAUGUGGAUGAUUUUGUGGCCUACCAUUUUUCCAC